AUUGAACGCUGGCGGCAGGCUUAACACAUGCAAGUCGAGCGGGGGAAGGUAGCUUGCUACCGGACCUAGCGGCGGACGGGUGAGUAAUGCUUAGGAAUCUGCCUAUUAGUGGGGGACAACAUCUCGAAAGGGAUGCUAAUACCGCAUACGUCCUACGGGAGAAAGCAGGGGAUCUUCGGACCUUGCGCUAAUGGAUGAGCCUAAGUCGGAUUAGCUAGUUGGUGGGGUAAAGGCCUACCAAGGCGACGAUCUGUAGCGGGUCUGAGAGGAUGAUCCGCCACACUGGGACUGAGACACGGCCCAGAUUCCUACGGGAGGCAGCAGUGGGGAAUAUUGGACAAUGGGGGGAACCCUGAUCCAGCCAUGCCGCGUGUGUGGAGAAGGCCUUAUGGUUGUAAAGCACUUUAAGCGAGGAGGAGGCUACUUUAGUUAAUACCUAGAGAUAGUGGACGUUACUCGCAGAAUAAGCACCGGCUAACUCUGUGCCAGCCGCCGCCGUAA
This 501-nucleotide ribosomal RNA is filed under the name uncultured bacterium. RNAcentral's name for it is "partial 16S ribosomal RNA". It matches the Rfam family "Bacterial small subunit ribosomal RNA", at positions 30 to 523 of the family's 1533-position model. The record is from RNAcentral.